AGGGGAUGGACAUUGACUCUGGAACUUUAGAAGUUUCUAGUAUCUCCAGAGAAGAUCAUCUGUUUCUGGAUUUCUGCAUGUCAUCAGUAACAGACAUUAGGACCACACUUCUGCAUCUGUUGGUAGCUUUGAAGUCAAGGUGGGGAAUAAAUGAAACAAGUGAGGAAAUGAGACAGACAGUGGUAACAGCUAAGAGCCUUUUGAAACAAUUCAAGUUAGUAUAUGUUGUGCCCAAGAUUACGUAUCCGAGAAACUACCAAGGAGCCGGUUUGUGUUUUGCACAGAGCCUUCCCUAUGAUGAUUACACAUCAUUCAACUAGUAUUUAAUUGAGACUUUAAGGACCGAUCUACUCAUGAGCCCUCUUUCUCUCCUUCUUCUUCUUACCCUCCUUCCCACACCAUCCUUGCUAGAGAUGAACAAUAGAAGCUUCAGUUACUUCUGGAAGCCACCUUAACACACGAGAAGAAACAGCCACAGGAUAAUGGACCUGAGAUGAGAAAAGAGCAACAGAAACUCGGUAGUUCUUGGUCCUUAUGAAGUCCUUGGUCCUUAUAUUCCACCGUUUUGGAAUAUAGGACACUUCUGCACAGACUGCUCCUGGCCCUUACUUCCUUACUCUUUCUUCAUCUCUUCUCCGUUCUCCAUCUGUUUCUCCUCCCCAUCUGUAUCUUGUUCCUGCUGUGGAAUAAAAACUAAUUCAUCCUUCAAAAUGCACCUGUAGUAUCAGUGUUUUAGUCUGUUCUGGCUCCUAUAACAAACGACCGCAGACUAGGUGGCUUAAGCAACAGAAAUUCACCUUCUCACAGU
Canis lupus familiaris (dog) is the source of this 808-nucleotide long non-coding RNA. RefSeq lists it as uncharacterized. Lineage: Eukaryota; Metazoa; Chordata; Mammalia; Carnivora; Canidae. The transcript is spliced from 6 exons. The record is from RefSeq and is a predicted model, not a curated record.